Molecule: ribosomal RNA, 1259 nt
Filed under: metagenome
Description: bacterial LSU rRNA
Rfam family: Bacterial large subunit ribosomal RNA
Source: RNAcentral
UAUCCUAAGGCGCUUGAGAGAACUCGGGAGAAGGAACUCGGCAAAUUGACACCGUAACUUCGGAAGAAGGUGUGCCUUUAGUAGGUGAACCAUUUACUUGGGGAGCCCAAUGAGGUUGCAAAAAAUCGGUGGCUGCGACUGUUUAUUAAAAACACAGCACUCUGCAAACACGAAAGUGGACGUAUAGGGUGUGACGCCUGCCCGGUGCUGGAAGAUUAAAUGAUGGGGUGAGAGCUCUUGAUUGAAGUCCCAGUAAACGGCGGCCGUAACGAUAACGGUCCUAAGGUAGCGAAAUUCCUUGUCGGGUAAGUUCCGACCUGCACGAAUGGCGUAACGAUGGCCACACUGUCUCCUCCCGAGACUCAGCGAAGUUGAAAUGUUUGUGAUGAUGCAAUCUCCCCGCGGAAAGACGGAAAGACCCCAUGAACCUUUACUGUAGCUUUGUAUUGGACUUUGAACAGAUCUGUGUAGGAUAGGUGGGAGGCUUUGAAGCGGUGCCGCUAGGUAUCGUGGAGCCAACGUUGAAAUACCACCCUGGUGUGUUUGAGGUUCUAACCUAGAUCCAUUAUCUGGAUCGGGGACAGUGCAUGGUAGGCAGUUUGACUGGGGCAGUCUCCUCCCAAAGCGUAACGGAGGAGUUCGAAGGUACGCUAGUUACGGUCGGACAUCGUGAUGAUAGUGCAAUGGCAUAAGCGUGCUUAACUGCGAGACUGACAAGUCGAGCAGAUGCGAAAGCAGGACAUAGUGAUCCGGUGGUUCUGUAUGGAAGGGCCAUCGCUCAACGGAUAAAAGGUACUCUGGGGAUAACAGGCUGAUACCGCCCAAGAGUUCAUAUCGACGGCGGUGUUUGGCACCUCGAUGUCGGCUCAUCUCAUCCUGGGGCUGUAGCCGGUCCCAAGGGUAUGGCUGUUCGCCAUUUAAAGAGGUACGUGAGCUGGGUUUAAAACGUCGUGAGACAGUUUGGUCCCUAUCUUCCGUGGGCGCUGCAGAUUUGAGGAAGCCUGCUCCUAGUACGAGAGGACCGGAGUGGACACACCUCUGGUGUAUCGGUUGUCACGCCAGUGGCAUUGCCGAGUAGCUAUGUGUGGAAGAGAUAACCGCUGAAAGCAUCUAAGCGGGAAACUCGUUUCAAGAUGAGAUCUGCCGGGGCCUUGAGCCCCCUAAAGAGUCGUUCAAGACCAGGACGUUGAUAGGUCGGGUGUGUAAGCGUAGUAAUGCGUUGAGCUAACCGAUACUAAUUGCUCGUGCGGCUUGACCCC